CCCUGUUGCUCAAGAGGUGAGUCCAUGUCUUAUUCAAAGACUGUAUUCCUAGUUUCUAAAAGCCAGAACAUGGUUCAGUAAAUGUAAGGUAAGUAAAUAAUUGUUGCUUCCAUUUCCUUUAAAAAGCCAUGCCUCUGCCCUACCCCCAACUCUAGGAGGCCUCACCCUUGCUUUUCAUGAUACCUUACAGGUUUGUGUAUGUGUGGGAUACCACAAGCAGGAGAAUAUUGUAUAAGCUGCCCGGCCAUGCUGGCUCCAUCAAUGAAGUUGCUUUCCACCCUGACGAGCCCAUCAGCAAGCUCCCCAUGGCCUCUAAAAACCACCUGCCAGAUUUCAGGGACUGUUUUAUUUUUUUCUUUUUCUUUUUUCCUGUUUUCUAAUGCAGGCCCAAUGUGACAAAUUUGUUGGUUGGGAUUUUUUUUUUUUUUUGGUAACUGGCUUGUAUGAUAUUUUCUUUCUGUAUUUCUGUAAAUCAUUUUGUAUUAAAAGCCAAAUAGAUGCCUUUUUACAAGA
Molecule: small RNA, 513 nt
Filed under: Pongo abelii (Sumatran orangutan)
Lineage: Eukaryota; Metazoa; Chordata; Mammalia; Primates; Hominidae
Description: processed transcript
Source: RNAcentral